This 351-nucleotide ribosomal RNA is filed under the name uncultured Gallionellaceae bacterium. RNAcentral's name for it is "bacterial SSU rRNA". It matches the Rfam family "Bacterial small subunit ribosomal RNA", at positions 1030 to 1382 of the family's 1533-position model. The record is from RNAcentral. Lineage: Bacteria; Pseudomonadati; Pseudomonadota; Betaproteobacteria; Nitrosomonadales; Gallionellaceae.
GAAGACAGGUGCUGCAUGGCUGUCGUCAGCUCGUGUCGUGAGAUGUUGGGUUAAGUCCCGCAACGAGCGCAACCCUUGUCAUUAAUUGCCAUCAUUCAGUUGGGCACUUUAAUGAGACUGCCGGUGACAAACCGGAGGAAGGUGGGGAUGACGUCAAGUCCUCAUGGCCCUUAUGGGUAGGGCUUCACACGUAAUACAAUGGUCGGUACAGAGGGUUGCCAACCCGCGAGGGGGAGCCAAUCCCAGAAAACCGAUCGUAGUCCGGAUUGCAGUCUGCAACUCGACUGCAUGAAGUCGGAAUCGCUAGUAAUCGCGGAUCAGCAUGUCGCGGUGAAUACGUUCCCGGGCCUU